CAGUCGCCGCGGGAAUACGAAGGGUGCAAGCGUUACUCGGAAUUACUGGGCGUAAAGCGUGCGUAGGUGGUGGUUUAAGUCCGUUGUGAAAGCCCUGGGCUCAACCUGGGAAUUGCAGUGGAUACUGGGUCACUAGAGUGUGGUAGGGGAUAGUGGAAUUUCCGGUGUAGCAGUGAAAUGCGUAGAGAUGUGGAGGAACACCGAUGGCGAAGGCAGCCCCCUGGGCCAAUACUGACGCUCAUGCACGAAAGCGUGGGGAGCAAACAGGAUUAGAUACCCCCGUAGUCCCUGUCUCUUAUAC
This 301-nucleotide ribosomal RNA is filed under the name uncultured bacterium. RNAcentral describes it as "partial 16S ribosomal RNA". It matches the Rfam family "Bacterial small subunit ribosomal RNA", at positions 509 to 807 of the family's 1533-position model. The record is from RNAcentral.